This 253-nucleotide ribosomal RNA is filed under the name uncultured bacterium. RNAcentral describes it as "partial 16S ribosomal RNA". It matches the Rfam family "Bacterial small subunit ribosomal RNA", at positions 524 to 776 of the family's 1533-position model. The record is from RNAcentral.
UACGUAGGCAGCGAGCGUUGUUCGGAAUUACUGGGCGUAAAGAGUGUGUAGGCGGUGCUCUAAGUUCGGUGUGAAAUCUCCUGGCUCAACUGGGAGGGUGCGCCGGAAACUGGAGUGCUUGAGCGUGGGAGAGGAAAGCGGAAUUCCUGGUGUAGCGGUGAAAUGCGUAGAUAUCGUAAGGAAGACCAGUGGCGAAGGCGGGUCUCUGGGACGGUACUGACGCUGAGACGCGAAAGCGUGGGGAGCGAACAGG